AUGGGCGAGCCUGAUGGAGCAACGCCGCGUGAGUGAAGAAGGUUUUCGGAUCGUAAAACUCUGUUGUAAGGGAAGAACAAGUACAGUAGUAACUGGCUGUACCUUGACGGUACCUUAUUAGAAAGCCACGGCUAACUACGUGCCAGCAGCCGCGGUAAUACGUAGGUGGCAAGCGUUGUCCGGAAUUAUUGGGCGUAAAGCGCGCGCAGGCGGUCCUUUAAGUCUGAUGUG
This 231-nucleotide ribosomal RNA is filed under the name Lysinibacillus macroides. Its description in RNAcentral is "partial 16S ribosomal RNA". It matches the Rfam family "Bacterial small subunit ribosomal RNA", at positions 371 to 596 of the family's 1533-position model. The record is from RNAcentral. Lineage: Bacteria; Bacillati; Bacillota; Bacilli; Caryophanales; Bacillaceae.